AAUGAACGUUGGCGGCGUGGAUUAGGCAUGCAAGUCGUGCGAUAACCCCGCAAGGGGGGAAAGCGGCGAAAGGGCGAGUAACGCGUGGGUACCUGCCCCUUGGUCCGGAAUAGCUGCGGGAAACUGCAGGUAAUGCCGGAUAAUAUCCUCGGAUCAAAGGUGCGAUUCCGCCGAGGGAGGGGCCCGCGCUCUAUUAGCUAGUUGGUAGGGUAAUGGCCUACCAAGGCGACGAUGGAUACCGGGUGUGAGAGCAUGACCCGGCUCACUGGGACUGAGACACUGCCCAGACACCUACGGGUGGCUGCAGUCGAGAAUCUUCGGCAAUGGGCGCAAGCCUGACCGAGCGACGCCGCGUGCGGGAUGAAGGCCUUCGGGUUGUAAACCGCUGUCGUAGAGGAGGAAAUGCCAUGGGGUUCUCUCCAUGGUUUGACCUAUUCUAGGAGGAAGGACGGGCUAAGUUCGUGCCAGCCGCCGCUGUAA
This 480-nucleotide ribosomal RNA is filed under the name uncultured bacterium. Its description in RNAcentral is "partial 16S ribosomal RNA". It matches the Rfam family "Bacterial small subunit ribosomal RNA", at positions 28 to 523 of the family's 1533-position model. The record is from RNAcentral.